RNAcentral lists this small nuclear RNA (204 nucleotides) under Catagonus wagneri (Chacoan peccary). Its description in RNAcentral is "U2 spliceosomal RNA (ENSCWAG00000015233.1)". It matches the Rfam family "U2 spliceosomal RNA". From Rfam's summary of the family: U2 is a small nuclear RNA (snRNA) component of the spliceosome (involved in pre-mRNA splicing). The record is from Rfam by way of RNAcentral. Lineage: Eukaryota; Metazoa; Chordata; Mammalia; Artiodactyla; Tayassuidae.
AUCACCUCUCAGCCUUUUGGCUAAGAUCAAGUUUAGUAUCUGUUGUUAUCAGUAGUUAUCUUUUAAUACCAUUAGUGAGUUAGAAGUUGAAGCCGUGUCUUAAAAAGUUUAUAUUAAGUAUCAGUAAUAUUUAUAUUUGAUUUCAAAUAAUAGUAAAUAUAGUAAACACUUAUGAAGUCUUAACUCUGUAAUUCUAUACCCUCU